Molecule: unclassified non-coding RNA, 422 nt
Filed under: uncultured bacterium
Lineage: Bacteria
Description: partial 16S-23S ribosomal RNA intergenic spacer
Source: RNAcentral
AUUCGUGAGACUGAGCCCUGUGCCUGCCAUGGGCGAAUAGGGUUGUAUGGUGUAGCCUUUGUAAAGUAAACCCUUGUUGUCCAUUUGUUUUAGCAACCACCAGACUGUCUCAAUAUAUUUGGAAGUGUAGGUGACGUAAGGAUUUUCCAUGUCCACCCAAUAGCCCAUUUUUUGGGUGAGUUGGUUCCACAAAUCAGUGUAGCGCAUCACGGCCUUUUUACAAGCUUUGUUAUAGUCAGCCACACUGAUGGUUUUUCCAAUAUCUUCUUUGGUAAUACCCAAUUCUUUUUCUACACCCAAUUCUACGGGUAAACCGUGUGUAUCCCAACCCGCUUUGCGAUGGACCUGAAACCCCUUUUGGGUUUUGUAGCGGCAAAAAAUAUCUUUAAUACUUCGGGCCAUUACGUGGUGGAUGCCUUGGC